UACGGAGGGUGCAAGCGUUAUCCGGAUUCACUGGGUUUAAAGGGUGCGUAGGCGGCGCGGUAAGUCGGGUGUGAAAUCUCGGAGCUUAACUCCGAAACUGCAUUCGAUACUGCCGUGCUUGAGGACUGGAGAGGAGACUGGAAUUUACGGUGUAGCGGUGAAAUGCGUAGAGAUCGUAAGGAAGACCAGUGGCGAAGGCGAGUCUCUGGACAGUUACUGACACUGAGGCACGAAGGCCAGGGGAGCAAACGGG
Molecule: ribosomal RNA, 253 nt
Filed under: uncultured bacterium
Lineage: Bacteria
Description: partial 16S ribosomal RNA
Rfam family: Bacterial small subunit ribosomal RNA
Source: RNAcentral